AUGCACGCUGGCGGCGUGCCUAAUACAUGCAAGUCGCGCGAACAGACGAGGAGCUUGCUCCUCUGACGUUAGCGGCGGACGGGUGAGUAACACGUGGAUAACCUACCUAUAAGACUGGGAUAACUUCGGGAAACCGGAGCUAAUACCGGAUAAUAUAUUGAACCGCAUGGUUCAAUAGUGAAAGACGGUUUUGCUGUCACUUAUAGAUGGAUCCGCGCCGCAUUAGCUAGUUGGUAAGGUAACGGCUUACCAAGGCAACGAUGCGUAGCCGACCUGAGAGGGUGAUCGGCCACACUGGAACUGAGACACGGUCCAGACUCCUACGGGAGGCAGCAGUAGGGAAUCUUCCGCAAUGGGCGAAAGCCUGACAGAGCAACGCCGCGUGAGUGAUGAAGGUCUUCGGAUCGUAAAACUCUGUUAUUAGGGAAGAACAAAUGUGUAAGUAACUAUGCACGUCUUGACGGUACCUAAUCAGAAAGCCACGGCUAACUACGUG
This 496-nucleotide ribosomal RNA is filed under the name uncultured bacterium. Its description in RNAcentral is "partial 16S ribosomal RNA". It matches the Rfam family "Bacterial small subunit ribosomal RNA", at positions 29 to 507 of the family's 1533-position model. The record is from RNAcentral.